UAAUAGCGUAUAUUAAUGUUGUUGCAGUUAAAAAGCUCGUAGUUGGAUUUUGGUGUUUGACAAAUGGUCUGCCUUCGGGUUUGUCACUGUUUGUUGGCACUUCUUUUCUGGGGAACUCACUGCUCUUAAUUGAGGGGUGCUGUAACGCAGAUCGUUUACUUUGAAAAAAUUAGAGUGUUCAAAGCAGGCCAACGCAUUGAAUACAUUAGCAUGGAAUAAUGGAAUAGGACUUUGGUCUUAUUUUGUUGGUUUCUAAGGCCGAGGUAAUGAUUAAUAGGGAGUAGUUGGGGGCGGUUUAUAUUCCGUUGUUCAGAGGUGGAAAUUACUUUGGAUUUACGGAAGAUAAACUAACUGCGAAAGCAUUCGCCAAGGAUGUUUUCUAUUAAUCAAGAACGAAAGUUAGGG
RNAcentral lists this ribosomal RNA (405 nucleotides) under uncultured eukaryote. RNAcentral describes it as "bacterial SSU rRNA". It matches the Rfam family "Eukaryotic small subunit ribosomal RNA", at positions 592 to 995 of the family's 1831-position model. The record is from RNAcentral.